This 257-nucleotide ribosomal RNA is filed under the name uncultured prokaryote. RNAcentral's name for it is "partial 16S ribosomal RNA". It matches the Rfam family "Bacterial small subunit ribosomal RNA", at positions 524 to 780 of the family's 1533-position model. The record is from RNAcentral.
UACGGAGGAUGCAAGCGUUAUCCGGAUUCAUUGGGUUUAAAGGGUGCGUAGGCGGGCUAUUAAGUCAGUGGUGAAAUCCUGCAGCUUAACUGCAGAACUGCCGUUGAUACUGAUAGUCUUGAGUUUGGUUAAGGUAGGCGGAAUGUGUAAUGUAGCGGUGAAAUGCUUAGAUAUUACACAGAACACCGAUUGCGAAGGCAGCUUACUAAUCCAUCAUUGACCCUGAGGCACGAAAGCGUGGGGAUCAAACAGGAUUA